This 977-nucleotide long non-coding RNA is filed under the name Nicotiana benthamiana. Its description in RNAcentral is "long non-coding RNA (NBEN_LNC027554)". The record is from RNAcentral. Lineage: Eukaryota; Viridiplantae; Streptophyta; Magnoliopsida; Solanales; Solanaceae.
AAACAAAACCAAGAGAAAAAAAUGGAUACACAUGACCUAACCCAUAAAGGGGGGUUUUUUUAAAAUAAAAAUAAAAAGAAAGAAAAAAAAGGGGGCUUAAUGCCCUGAACAUAAGCAGAAGGCGUUUUAUUUUAAACGCAAGAAAAGAACCUAAACCCUUCUGCGAAACGAAGGCAGUCACGAAGUUACUGACGCACGGAAAAUUCUAGGUUCUUUACCAAUCACUUAUUCUUGAAUUCAGGUAUGUAAAAUCCCUUAUUGUCAAUUACCCUACAGUAGUAAUAUGUAAGAAUUGAAUAGCUAAAUCCCUUCUUCCUCUAUAUCAUCAAUAAAUUUCAUAAUUAGGUGUAAUACUUUAAAAUUGAUCAAAAUACACCGAUUGUUGUAGAAUCGAUUGUUUGACUGGUGUCAAUUGGACUGGGGUCUACGUAUUAGCUCAAGGAGUUUUGAGAUGAGUUGAUAUUACCCUUUACUAAAGUGGUUUAACUCACAAAAGCACGCACCCAAGGCGUUUGAUGAAUUGCUUAAAAGAGUUUAUAUUUAUUUAAUUAGAGAGACUGAGUACCCAAUUAAUUUAGAAUUGUUCUAGAAAAAGUUUAGAUGAUCUAUUAUGCUAUAUGUGCUGAAAUUUUCAGAUAUUUUUGUGUUAUCCUUAUAUGCUAUUUUCAUGUUGAAAAUUAUGAAGAAGAAAGAAUUUUUAGAAAUAUUUUUAUAGGUUUAUUUCGUUCUUAUGCCAUGCUUUGCAUUUAAGGACACCAACAUGAGCUUGUAUCCUUAUAUGUUAUUUUCAUGUUGAAAAUUAUGAAGAAGAAACAAUCUUUAGAAAUAUUUUUAUAUGCUUAUUUCGUUCUUAUAUCAUGCUUUACAUUUAAGGACACCAACAUGAGCAUGUACAUAAUGUUCUAUAAAGAAAAGAUUUAGACUUGAAAAGUUACAAGAAGAAGUUUUAGAAAGAAAAGAUUUUUGGGGAGUAUCNN